GUUGGAAAUCAAAGCAGCCAAAACGAACUUUCUUCGGUUUUCACCAAUUCCCGCUCGAAUUGCACAGCCCCACAAGACACAGGUAAGAACCAUUGUUUUUGUUGUCUGUUGUUAAAUAGGAUUAAAAGCCGUUUGAAUUAUCGAUUUCGUUCACCGGAGUAUCUUCGCUUGGUUUGCCUGACAAUAUGUAUAUAAUAUAUAAUCCUAUAUCUAUCAGUCAUCGAAAUGCCAAAUAUGAGAGUCCAAAGGAUAAAGGUUGUGGAUUUUCUAUAAAAAUUCCAUAUAUUUAGCAUUGAAUCAACACAAGGGUACAUAACCCUUAAUUAGGUCUUUCCACCUUUCCGCGGAAAGACCUAUAGAUUUCGUUCUGAUUAUUAUUAUUAUUAUUUUUUUUUUCCGCCUAAUUUUUUUUCUUGCGUAGUAUUGUUGUUUAAUAACUUGUCGCUUAGAUGUUUAAAAUGUGAUAUCGUAUAGUUUAUACGCUUCAAAAAUUUACAACUGCGUAACAAAAAUAUUACAUUGUGAGUUAUCUCCCCAACACUGUUUUUCUUGUGGUCACUACUCCUUCGCAACCA
Molecule: long non-coding RNA, 575 nt
Filed under: Mytilus galloprovincialis (Mediterranean mussel)
Lineage: Eukaryota; Metazoa; Mollusca; Bivalvia; Mytilida; Mytilidae
Source: RNAcentral